Molecule: unclassified non-coding RNA, 167 nt
Filed under: uncultured Phialocephala
Lineage: Eukaryota; Fungi; Ascomycota; Leotiomycetes; Helotiales
Description: sequence contains ITS1
Source: RNAcentral
CAGAGUUCAUGCCCUUCGGGGUAGAUCUCCCACCCUAUGUAUUUAUACCUUUGUUGCUUUGGUGGGCCGUUAGGCUUCGGCCCGGCUACCGGCUCACGCUGGUAAGUGCCCACCAGAGGACCUAAAACUCUGAAUGUUAAUGUCGUCUGAGUACUAUAUAAUAGUUA